Molecule: transfer RNA, 62 nt
Filed under: Haemaphysalis tibetensis
Lineage: Eukaryota; Metazoa; Arthropoda; Arachnida; Ixodida; Ixodidae
Description: tRNA-Asn
Source: RNAcentral
UUUAAUAGAAGCCAAAAUAGCGGCAAUUCACUGUUAAUGAAUUUAUUGAUUCUCCUAUUAAA